GACCAAAGGGGGCGAGCGCAAGCAGCUUCCACCGAAGGAGGAGCCUGCGUCCGAUUAGCUAGUUGGUGGGGUAACGGCCUACCAAGGCGACGAUCGGUAGCCGGCCUGAGAGGGCGACCGGCCACACUGGAACUGAGACACGGUCCAGACUCCUACGGGAGGCAGCAGUGGGGAAUAUUGCGCAAUGGGCGAAAGCCUGACGCAGCGACGCCGCGUGGGUGAUGAAGGCCUUCGGGUUGUAAAGCCCUGUCGGGUGGAACGAAUAACUCAGUGGCGAAUAACCGCUAGGUGUGACGGUACCACCGAAGGAAGCCCCGGCUAACUACGUGCCAGCAGCCGCGGUAAGACGUAGGGGGCGAGCGUUGUUCGGAUUUACUGGGCGUAAAGCGCGCGUAGGCGGCCAGAUAAGUCGGGUGUGAAAUCCCUCGGCUCAACCGAGGGUCCGCAUCCGAUACUGCUUGGCUCGAGUCUAGGAGAGGAAAGCGGAAUUCCCAGUGUAGCGGUGAAAUGCGUAGAUAUUGGGAGGAACACCGGUGGCGAAGGCGGCUUUCCGGACUAGUACUGACGCUGAGGCGCGAAAGCUAGGGGAGCGAACGGGAUUAGAUACCCCGGUAGUCCUAGCCGUAAACGAUGGGCACUAGGUGUGGGAGGUAUUGACCCCUUCCGCGCCGAAGCUAACGCAUUAAGUGCCCCGCCUGGGGAGUACGGCCGCAAGGCUAAAACUCAAAGGAAUUGACGGGGGCCCGCACAAGCGGUGGAGCAUGUGGUUUAAUUCGACGCAACGCGAAGAACCUUACCAGGGCUUGACAUCCCGCGAAUCCUGCCGAAAGGUAGGAGUGCCCGCAAGGGAGCGUGGAGA
RNAcentral lists this ribosomal RNA (859 nucleotides) under NC10 bacterium enrichment culture clone EN43. RNAcentral's name for it is "bacterial SSU rRNA". It matches the Rfam family "Bacterial small subunit ribosomal RNA", at positions 199 to 1034 of the family's 1533-position model. The record is from RNAcentral. Lineage: Bacteria; Methylomirabilota (SeqCode).